GUAGCAGCAGGCAGAAAUCUCCAGUCACAACUGUGGAGUCCCGAAGUUUUUCUCUGUUGGCUCGGGGCCCUGUGUUGCUGACAUGUACUCAAGAUGGAAGUUUGUCUUUCUUCAGUGUUGCGCUGGAAAUACAAGGUUAUUUGGCUCUUCAUUGCUCACUCAAAUUAACUCCACGAAUAUACAAUAUCCGGGCUCUUCAUGGGUUAUGGAAGCUGCAGUAGUUAUGGCACUUGUCCUUGCUAAUGGGGGAUUUUGUAGAGGAGAAUAAUGCGGGAAAUGCUGCAUCAGCUCUUAUGGAACGUUUAUCUCCAAAGACAAGGAUGAGUUAAAUGCCUCACUAAGCUGCACAUGAGUUAAAUGCAGACGAGUAGACCACCUACCAGAUUUGCAGCAAAGGUUUUUGUUCUUUUUUCUGCAAUAUCUUGUUCCUCAUUGAGAAUGAAGACUAGUUGCUCUUGUAAUAUGCAGCAUAAGUCUAUAUGGGGGUCAAGAAAGAUUUGUGUCUCUGCAAUGGGUCAGCAGGUUUGUGUCUCUGCAAGCUCACUGGCCAUUCCGUUUUCUAUGACCACUUCUAUGAUUUGGGUGAUUCCGUUCAUGAUCAGAUUGUGAAACUAGUACAGCAGUAUAGCUAGCUAGUUCCUUUAUUAACUUGUGUCUAGUAGAAAUUUUUCAUUCAUUAAGCAUUUAGACUUGUCUUCAGAUCCAGAUUAGUAUAUAUGAGUUAUUUUGAACUGAAGUUCAUGAUUAAGUUUGUGUACAUGAGAUACUAGUGGAUUAAUGGAAAUUGCAAUGAAUGAUUUUGAAUGUGGAUUUUAUGGUUU
Rosa rugosa (rugosa rose) is the source of this 821-nucleotide long non-coding RNA. RefSeq lists it as uncharacterized. The record is from RefSeq and is a predicted model, not a curated record. NCBI's taxonomy places the organism in Eukaryota, Viridiplantae, Streptophyta, Magnoliopsida, Rosales, Rosaceae. The transcript is spliced from 4 exons.